Molecule: ribosomal RNA, 1372 nt
Filed under: uncultured bacterium
Lineage: Bacteria
Description: bacterial SSU rRNA
Rfam family: Bacterial small subunit ribosomal RNA
Source: RNAcentral
GAUGAACGCUGGCGGCGUGCCUAAUACAUGCAAGUCGAGCGAACGGACGAGAAGCUUGCUUCUCUGAUGUUAGCGGCGGACGGGUGAGUAACACGUGGAUAACCUACCUAUAAGACUGGGAUAACUUCGGGAAACCGGAGCUAAUACCGGAUAAUAUUUUGAACCGCAUGGUUCAAAAGUGAAAGACGGUCUUGCUGUCACUUAUAGAUGGAUCCGCGCUGCAUUAGCUAGUUGGUAAGGUAACGGCUUACCAAGGCAACGAUGCAUAGCCGACCUGAGAGGGUGAUCGGCCACACUGGAACUGAGACACGGUCCAGACUCCUACGGGAGGCAGCAGUAGGGAAUCUUCCGCAAUGGGCGAAAGCCUGACGGAGCGACGCCGCGUGAGUGAUGAAGGUCUUCGGAUCGUAAAACUCUGUUAUUAGGGAAGAACAUAUGUGUAAGUAACUGUGCACAUCUUGACGGUACCUAAUCAGAAAGCCACGGCUAACUACGUGCCAGCAGCCGCGGUAAUACGUAGGUGGCAAGCGUUAUCCGGAAUUAUUGGGCGUAAAGCGCGCGUAGGCGGUUUUUUAAGUCUGAUGUGAAAGCCCACGGCUCAACCGUGGAGGGUCAUUGGAAACUGGAAAACUUGAGUGCAGAAGAGGAAAGUGGAAUUCCAUGUGUAGCGGUGAAAUGCGCAGAGAUAUGGAGGAACACCAGUGGCGAAGGCGACUUUCUGGUCUGUAACUGACGCUGAUGUGCGAAAGCGUGGGGAUCAAACAGGAUUAGAUACCCUGGUAGUCCACGCCGUAAACGAUGAGUGCUAAGUGUUAGGGGGUUUCCGCCCCUUAGUGCUGCAGCUAACGCAUUAAGCACUCCGCCUGGGGAGUACGACCGCAAGGUUGAAACUCAAAGGAAUUGACGGGGACCCGCACAAGCGGUGGAGCAUGUGGUUUAAUUCGAAGCAACGCGAAGAACCUUACCAAAUCUUGACAUCCUUUGACAACUCUAGAGAUAGAGCCUUCCCCUUCGGGGGACAAAGUGACAGGUGGUGCAUGGUUGUCGUCAGCUCGUGUCGUGAGAUGUUGGGUUAAGUCCCGCAACGAGCGCAACCCUUAAGCUUAGUUGCCAUCAUUAAGUUGGGCACUCUAAGUUGACUGCCGGUGACAAACCGGAGGAAGGUGGGGAUGACGUCAAAUCAUCAUGCCCCUUAUGAUUUGGGCUACACACGUGCUACAAUGGACAAUACAAAGGGCAGCGAAACCGCGAGGUCAAGCAAAUCCCAUAAAGUUGUUCUCAGUUCGGAUUGUAGUCUGCAACUCGACUACAUGAAGCUGGAAUCGCUAGUAAUCGUAGAUCAGCAUGCUACGGUGAAUACGUUCCCGGGUCU